UGGGGAAUAUUGCACAAUGGAGGGAACUCUGAUGCAGCGACGCCGCGUGAACGAAGAAGGCUUUCGAGUCGUAAAGUUCUUUUAUAUGGGAAGAUAAUGACGGUACCAUAAGAAAAAGCCCCGGCUAACUACGUGCCAGCAGCCGCGGUAAUACGUAGGGGGCUAGCGUUGUCCGGAAUCACUGGGCGUAAAGGGUUCGCAGGCGGAAAUGCAAGUCAGGUGUAAAAGGCAGUAGCUUAACUACUGUAAGCAUUUGAAACUGCAUAUCUUGAGAAGAGUAGAGGUAAGUGGAAUUUUUAGUGUAGCGGUGAAAUGCGUAGAUAUUAAAAAGAAUACCGGUGGCGAAGGCGACUUACUGUGCUCAUUCUGACGCUGAGGAACGAACGCGUGGGUAGCAAACAGG
Molecule: ribosomal RNA, 403 nt
Filed under: Fusobacteriota bacterium
Lineage: Bacteria; Fusobacteriati; Fusobacteriota
Description: Fusobacteria bacterium partial 16S ribosomal RNA
Rfam family: Bacterial small subunit ribosomal RNA
Source: RNAcentral